RNAcentral lists this long non-coding RNA (1515 nucleotides) under Sus scrofa (pig). Its description in RNAcentral is "lncRNA (ENSSSCG00070017019.1)". The record is from RNAcentral. Lineage: Eukaryota; Metazoa; Chordata; Mammalia; Artiodactyla; Suidae.
GGCUUAUUUUCCGUAACCAUGCAAGGGAUUGCAGAGAAAGAGUCAUAGAGAAGCGGCCAACACCCAGCUUCCACUGCUUUGCCUCAUCGGCCCAACCUUAUGUGCUGAGACCUUGCUGAAGCUCCUACAAGCACAAGUGGGCUCAUUCUUUUUCAUCUGCGAUGUUUUCCUCCAUCUACCAUCUUUUGCUUAAAAAAGGGGGGGGGGCAAGUGAGUAUUCACCACGAAACUAUUUGAUUUUGUUCAGUCCUGACAGGUCCUCUGUAACCAAACAGAAUUACAGGGACUCUGCCUACCCCAGGCAGACCCAGCAUCAGGUCAGCUAUAAUUGGCACCUGGUGAGAGGUCACGAAACACGGGCUGUGGGAGCAAGUGCAUUAAGGGCUCGGUGACAGCAGUUGCCAUGCGUUUCUGAGUGCUGUCAAGCAGGAUCUUCAAUCACAGUGUGCUUUGUGCUCUGCAUUCUAAAAAUGGAAAUGAAACCACCAGCUCCUCCCCAGACUGUGAGGCUUGAUGGACGCGAGCUUAAUGAACCCAGGAUAAAGGAAUUAGCCCAAGCAGAAGGCAGAAAAAGCAUUAAGAGACUCCCUCGGACCGUCAACCCCCUUCUGGUAUCCUCGGCCACACCAUGUCCCCAGAUGUACUGCUUCUUUCUAGAAUUAACAAAAAAGUCUGAGAAGCUAAAUUUAACUUGCAUACCCUGGAAAAACGGUAAACUUCAGGUCACCAAGCCCAGCAUCUCACAGGUGUCUUACCCAACAACAGCCCUCUGCUUCUAACCACACAAAGGGGCCCAGGACCACACACAUUUAGGACACUGAACAUGCUUUAUCUUCUUCUUGGGGACUCCUAACCUUAACGCAUCAAAUCCUGGAGCACGGAAGACGUUUUCUUGAUGGAGGAGAGGGUCUUUCCUUCGCAGGCAGCGGCCCCGCCUCCUCCUCGUGAAACGAGCUAAUCCACGUAAGAGGACUUAAAGCGGGUUCUAUAUAAGCAAUGAGAAUCGUGCUCCCAUCAUCUCCACCUGAAAACAAGGCUCCCAGAGCACACGCGGUUGCACGGGCAGCCAGGUGUGGGCCAAACUUCCAGAAACCCCUAGGUACCAGCGAAAAGGCUGGCUGGGAAAAAGGCAGAGAUUUUCAAUCAGGCAGUUACAGGUCAGGCUCUACCUAACCUUUCUGUGUCUCCGUUAUUUCAUCAUAAGAUGAGGACUAGAUAGGCCCUUCCUCUUACGUGUGUGGCGACUCAGGGAGCAAAGAGCUCAGCAGGUGUGGGCUGUUAUCCUCAGAAGGUCAAGGGACGGCACCUGCCCAACUCAGGGCUGUGACCCCACCCAGGAAACCAUUAACUUCCCCAAAGGCAUCCCAGAAGCCAUUCUGGGGACGAGUAAAACUUCUUCAUUUAUUUGGUCCAAACAUAUUUGUAAGGUUAAUCUUCUCAUUCCUUCUGGGGUGGAGACGGGGUGUCUGUUGAAGCAGCAAUAAAGGAAGGAAUUGACUGGAUGAAAAAGCUCUG